UACAAUGGUGGCUCAGGUAGUGGGGCUGAAAGGCACACCGGCGGUGUACCGGCAGUUCUAACCCUAUCUGGGCUACCACCACG
Molecule: non-coding RNA, 83 nt
Filed under: Sodalis glossinidius str. 'morsitans'
Lineage: Bacteria; Pseudomonadati; Pseudomonadota; Gammaproteobacteria; Enterobacterales; Bruguierivoracaceae
Source: RNAcentral